Molecule: ribosomal RNA, 440 nt
Filed under: uncultured bacterium
Lineage: Bacteria
Description: partial 16S ribosomal RNA
Rfam family: Bacterial small subunit ribosomal RNA
Source: RNAcentral
CCUACGGGAGGCUGCAGUGGGGAAUAUUGCACAAUGGGGGAAACCCUGAUGCAGCGACGCCGCGUGAGUGAAGAAGUAAUUCGUUAUGUAAAGCUCUAUCAGCAGGGAAGAAAAUGACGGUACCUGAGUAAGAAGCCCCGGCUAACUACGUGCCAGCAGCCGCGGUAAUACGUAGGGGGCAAGCGUUAUCCGGAUUUACUGGGUGUAACGGGAGCGUAGACGGCAGGGCAAGUCUGGAGUGAAAGGCGGGGGCUCAAACCCCGGACUGCUCUGGAAACUGUACGGCUGGAGUGCAGGAGAGGUAAGUGGAAUUCCUAGUGUAGCGGUGAAAUGCGUAGAUAUUAGGAGGAACACCAGUGGCGAAGGCGGCUUACUGGACUGUAACUGACGUUGAGGCUCGAAAGCGUGGGGAGCAAACAGGAUUAGAUACCCCAGUAGUC